UUCAUAUGUUUCACCUGUGUUUAGUUAUCACAGCCUCCUUUGUGUAUAUAGUCUCUGUUUAGUCUCUUCAGUUCAGUUUGCUUCUUCCCCAGCAUUUUCCUUGCUUCUUGUUCCAUUGCUGAGUUGUUUCCUUUUUGCUGUUUGAGUUUUGGAUUUUGCAUUUUGGAGAAAAGGACGUUGUUUGCCGACCUGCCUUAAAGAGACUGUGGCCGAUGUAAUAGAGGGGGAAGAAGAGGCAGUUCCAGGUGGUGGCGAACCAGGUGAUGGUGAAGGGGGCAUCAAACUGCUUAAAGGUCAGCUUGGCCAGCUGGGUGGAGCCUGCCCAGGAUGAGCACACACACAUCACCAUGGCGACUCCCCACAGGGCCUUCCGCACCUGCACAGUUGUGACUCGGAUGCAGCAGUGGAGCCUCCGUUUUUUGGAGUCGGACUCUGCUCCCGCCGCGCCGCCGGUCGUCUGUGCGUCCGUGGUGCCCACCACAUUCUCCCUGGUGCGUUCUUCUCCUAUAGAAGAACACGUGCAUUAAUAUCAGACUGGCAAUAAAAACACUCUGAUACUCGUUCUAUGAUCAGAAAUGUACUUAGUUAAAUAGUAGCUAAGGGAACUUUAACGCAUGCCACCACCAACAGUUCCCUUCAAUUCAGGCUGCAUCAAAUUUCACAUACUCGUUGAUAUUUGUUCACUCAAUAUGUCCAUGUAUUGUUCCCUGGUAAAUAAAAAAAAGCCCUAUCUUGCAAUUUUAUAGAAAGAGAAAGUAUCCUGGAUCUGCCCCCUUUUCUGAAUCGAUGCCAAAAUUGAAUGGAGUCUUCCUUGGCUCUUGUCCAAUCCUUCCAACAAGAUUGGUGGAUAUCCGUAUAAAAUUUAUUGUGUAAUCCUGUUUACAACAGACAAACCGGGGCGAAAACCUCCCCAACCUGCUUUUUAAAAAUAUUUGUACUUAUUGUAUUUCUGUAAGUCGUGAUGCUGUUUAUAAAAUAUAGAUUAUCUUUAUAUGUGGACUUAUGUUUGAAUAUCCUGUGUGGUAAAUCUUGACUAAAGGCUUGUACACUUUUAUCUGUGCAAGUGACUUCAGGUCA
Hippoglossus stenolepis (Pacific halibut) is the source of this 1077-nucleotide long non-coding RNA. RefSeq lists it as uncharacterized. Lineage: Eukaryota; Metazoa; Chordata; Actinopteri; Pleuronectiformes; Pleuronectidae. The record is from RefSeq and is a predicted model, not a curated record. The transcript has 2 exons.